Molecule: small nucleolar RNA, 136 nt
Organism: Apteryx haastii (Great spotted kiwi)
Lineage: Eukaryota; Metazoa; Chordata; Aves; Apterygiformes; Apterygidae
Source: Ensembl
AUGCAUCUAUUUGACAGACCUGGAGCAAAUGUCCAUUGCUUUUCUGGUUCUUACAGAGAUGCAACAGUAAUGGGUUCCUUGCGCUUUCUACCUGUCUGGUCUUGUGGCAGCCUGGAUUGAAUAAAGGAAUACAAAU